Molecule: RNA transcript, 968 nt
Organism: Cervus elaphus (red deer)
Lineage: Eukaryota; Metazoa; Chordata; Mammalia; Artiodactyla; Cervidae
Gene name: cyclic AMP-dependent transcription factor ATF-4-like
Exons: 1
Source: RefSeq, a predicted model, not a curated record
GGUCUCCUAGGUGACUACCUGGAGGGGGCCAAGCACUUCAAACCUCAUGGGUUCUCCUGCGACAAGGCUAAGGCAAGCUCCUCCGAAUGGCUGGCUGUGGAUGGGUUGGUCAGUUUCUCAGACAACAGCAAGGAGGAUGCUUUCUCCGGGACAGAUUGGAUGGUAGAGAAAAUGGAUUUGAAGGAGUUUGAUUUUAAUGAUACCCUGUUGAGUAUAGAUGACCUGGAAACCAUGCCAGAUGAGCUUUUGGCCACGUUGGAUGACACGUGUGGUCUCUUUGAUCCCCUACUCCAGGAGACUGAUAAGGAGCCCCCCCAGAUAGUGAACCCAAUUGGCCAUCUUCCAGAAAGUUUACCAACAAUUGACCAGGGUGCCCCCUUCACCUUCUUGCAACCUCUUCCCCCUUCCCCAGGGGCCCUGUCUUCCACUCCAGAUCAUUCCUUUAGUUUAGAGCUAUGCAGUGAAGUGGUUAUCUCUGAAGGAGAUAGCAAGCCAGACUCCACCACUUGCAUUACUGUGAUCCCUAGUGCAUAAAGGAGGAGGAUGCCCCCUCAGAUAAUGAUAGUGGCCUCUGCAUGAGACCUGACUCCUCUCUGGGCUCUCCCCAGCAUAGCCCCUCCACCUCCAGGGGCUCUCCAAAUAAGAGCCUGCUAUCUCCAGGUGCCCUCAGUGGCUCUUCCCGCCCCAAACCCUAUGACCCUCCUGGAGAGAAGAUGGUAGCAGCAAAAGUAAAGGGCGAGAAGCUAGACAAGAAGCUGCAGAAAAUGGAGCAGAACAAGACAGCAGCCACUAGGCACCGCCAGAAGAAGAGGGCAGAACAGGAGGCUCUCGCUGGUGAAUGUAACGAGCUAGAAAAGAAGAAUGAGGCUCUGAAAGAGAAGGCAGAUUCCUUGGCCAAGGAGAUCUAGUAUCUUAAAGAUCUGAUAGAAGAGGUUCGCAAGGCAAGGGAGAAGAAAAGGGUCCCCUAG